RNAcentral lists this ribosomal RNA (615 nucleotides) under uncultured Sebacinales. RNAcentral's name for it is "eukaryotic LSU rRNA". Lineage: Eukaryota; Fungi; Basidiomycota; Agaricomycetes; Sebacinales. The record is from RNAcentral.
AAGUCGUAACAAGGUUUCCGUAGGUGAACCUGCGGAAGGAUCAUUAAUGAAACUUCAAAGUCGGCCUGUUCUGUGCUGGUGGAAACACAUGUGCACGUCUGGUCGCAAAUCCACACACCUGUGCAUCUUUGACUCGAGGUUGUAAUGACUGAGAGUACUUUUACACACUCUGAAUGUAACGGAAUGUCAAAUGUACAAUGUACAAAUAAACAACUUUCAACAACGGAUCUCUUGGCUCUCGCAUCGAUGAAGAACGCAGCGAAAUGCGAUAAGUAAUGUGAAUUGCAGAAUUCAGUGAAUCAUCGAAUCUUUGAACGCACCUUGCACCCUUUGGUAUUCCGAAGGGUACGCCCGUUUGAGUGUCAUUGUAAUCUCACUUCAACUCUUUUGUUGUAUGUGGACUUGGAUGUUGCCGUGUCAAUACGGCUCGUCUCAAAUGCUUCAGUGUACCUUGCUUUUGCARUGUAUCCGGUGUAAUAAACAUUUCACCAGAGUUGGUCGCAAGACCGCAUUGUCAUGACAAGCUCUAUGCUUUCAAACUGUCCUCUUUGGACUGUGGUUUACCACACUUGACAAUUUGACCUCAAAUCGGGUGGGACUACCCGCUGAACUUAA